UCCUACGGGAGGCAGCAGCCGAGAAUAUUUGUCAAUGGGCGAAAGCCUGAACGAGCGACGCCGCGUGUGGGAAGAAGGUUUUCGGAUUGUAAACCACUUUUAUUCGGGAGAAAUCCGCAAGGAUGAUAGUACCGAAUGAAUAAAGGGUUCCCAACUCUGUGCCAGCAGGAGCGGUAAUACAGAGACCCCGAGCGUUAUCCGGAAUUAUUGGGCGUAAAGCGUCUGUAGGCGGUUUAAAUAGUGAGAUGUUAAAUGUCGAAGCUCAACUUCGUCACCGCAUCUCANACGUUUAGACUAGAG
This 300-nucleotide ribosomal RNA is filed under the name uncultured bacterium. RNAcentral describes it as "bacterial SSU rRNA". It matches the Rfam family "Bacterial small subunit ribosomal RNA", at positions 337 to 646 of the family's 1533-position model. The record is from RNAcentral.